UGAGGAAUAUUGGUCAAUGGGCGUAAGCCUGAACCAGCCAAGUCGCGUGAGGGAAGACGGUCCUACGGAUUGUAAACCUCUUUUGCCGGGGAGCAACGGGUCCUUGCGAGGGCCUUAUGAGAGUACCCGGAAGAAAAAAGCAUCGGCUAACUCCGUGCC
RNAcentral lists this ribosomal RNA (159 nucleotides) under uncultured bacterium. RNAcentral's name for it is "partial 16S ribosomal RNA". It matches the Rfam family "Bacterial small subunit ribosomal RNA", at positions 355 to 509 of the family's 1533-position model. The record is from RNAcentral.